UGUGCCUUCUGGACAGCAGGGAAAAAGGGCAAAGAUGCUGAACCACGACUGUUUCGGGAAAGAAGAAGGAACAUUCAUUCCACUGAAAUUGCCAAAGUCCAGGAAUUCCUGACUAGAAAGGACAUUAAGAACUGAUCCUGGUGAA
Chelonoidis abingdonii (Abingdon island giant tortoise) is the source of this 145-nucleotide non-coding RNA. NCBI's taxonomy places the organism in Eukaryota, Metazoa, Chordata, Testudines, Testudinidae. The record is from RefSeq and is a predicted model, not a curated record.